UUACCAGGGCUUGACAUGCUGGGAGUGGAACCUGAAAGGGGACGACCUGUUAAGUCAGGAGCCAGCACAGGUGCUGCAUGGCUGUCGUCAGCUCGUGCCGUGAGGUGUUUGGUUAAGUCCUGCAACGAGCCGCAACCCUCAUUGCCAGUUAAUGAUGUCUGGCGAGACUGCCCCGCAAAACGGGGAGGAAGGUGGGGAUGACGUCAAGUCAGCACGGCCCUUAUGCCCUGGGCUACACACACGCUACAAUGGGCGGUACAGCAGGUUGCAAAGGAGUGAUCUGGAGCUAAUCCUGAAAGCCGUCCUCAGUACAGAUUGCAGGCUGCAACUCGCCUGCAUGAAGUUGGAGUUGCUAGUAAACGCAGGUCAGCCAUACUGCGUUGAAUACGUUCCCGGGGCUU
Molecule: ribosomal RNA, 401 nt
Filed under: uncultured Chloroflexota bacterium
Lineage: Bacteria; Bacillati; Chloroflexota
Description: bacterial SSU rRNA
Rfam family: Bacterial small subunit ribosomal RNA
Source: RNAcentral